CCUACGGGUGGCAGCAGUGGGGAAUAUUGCGCAAUGGGCGAAAGCCUGACGCAGCGACGCCGCGUGAGGGAUGAAGGUCUUCGGAUCGUAAACCUCUGUCAGCAGGGAAGAACGGUCACUGUGCUAAUCAGCAGUGAAUUGACGGUACCUGCAAAGGAAGCACCGGCUAACUCCGUGCCAGCAGCCGCGGUAAUACGGAGGGUGCGAGCGUUAAUCGGAAUUACUGGGCGUAAAGCCCUCGUAGGCGGUAUGUCAAGUCAAGGGUGAAAUCCCCGCGCUCAACCUGGGAACUGCCUUUGAAACUGGCAAACUGGAGUGUGUGAGAGGAUAGUGGAAUUCCAGGUGUAGGAGUGAAAUGCGUAGAUAUCUGGAGGAACAUCAGUGGCGAAGGCGACUAUCUGGCACAUAACUGACGCUGAGGAGCGAAAGCGUGGGUAGCAAACAGGAUUAGAUACCCUUGUAGUC
This 465-nucleotide ribosomal RNA is filed under the name uncultured bacterium. RNAcentral's name for it is "partial 16S ribosomal RNA". It matches the Rfam family "Bacterial small subunit ribosomal RNA", at positions 338 to 795 of the family's 1533-position model. The record is from RNAcentral.